Molecule: long non-coding RNA, 312 nt
Organism: Hippocampus zosterae (dwarf seahorse)
Lineage: Eukaryota; Metazoa; Chordata; Actinopteri; Syngnathiformes; Syngnathidae
Exons: 3
Source: RefSeq, a predicted model, not a curated record
AGGGCUGUUCCGGCGAUGUUGGCGGCGUGAGCGGCACGCUGCAGUGAUUCUGCUCUCUGGCGAGGCCCUGAGCUGCAGGCGCAGGUGGAGGUGGCUCCAACGGCAGCUGGCCCUGGCCAAUCAGCACAAAAGCAGCUGGGCUAAAAGGCUGUGAAGGUGCUUCUCAAGAGCAUCGGCAGAACAAAGGUAACGUGGUCCAAAAUGACUUCAGGGGGAUUCCAGUCCAGCAGACAUGCGCGGCGGUGAAUUUUGAAGCGACAUGAGAGGAGUUGCGGCAUACCGACGACCACCUCCACUGCCACGUGAGCGUUG